Molecule: ribosomal RNA, 518 nt
Filed under: Cytospora rosigena
Lineage: Eukaryota; Fungi; Ascomycota; Sordariomycetes; Diaporthales; Cytosporaceae
Description: Cytospora sp. NC-2019a partial large subunit ribosomal RNA
Rfam family: Eukaryotic large subunit ribosomal RNA
Source: RNAcentral
GCGAGUGAAGCGGCAACAGCUCAAAUUUGAAAGCUGGCUUAGGCCCGCAUUGUAAUUUGCAGAGGAUGCUUCUGGCGAGGUGCCUUCCGAGUUCCCUGGAACGGGACGCCAUAGAGGGUGAGAGCCCCGUAUGGAUGGACACCAGACCUGUGUGAAGCUCCUUCAACGAGUCGAGUAGUUUGGGAAUGCUGCUCUAAAUGGGAGGUAAAUCUCUUCUAAAGCUAAAUACCGGCCAGAGACCGAUAGCGCACAAGUAGAGUGAUCGAAAGAUGAAAAGCACCUUGAAAAGGGGGUUAAACAGUACGUGAAAUUGUUGAAAGGGAAGCGCUUGUGACCAGACUUGCGCCGGGCAGCUCAUCAGGGGUUCUCCCCUGUGCACUCUGCCCGGCUCAGGCCAGCAUCGGUUUUCGUGGGAGGAUAAGAACGGUAGGAACGUGGCCCCCCUUCGGGGGGGUGUUAUAGCCUGCCGUACGAUACUCCCGUGGGGACCGAGGUUCGCGCUCCGCAAGGAUGCUGGC